This 547-nucleotide ribosomal RNA is filed under the name uncultured eukaryote. Its description in RNAcentral is "SSU rRNA". It matches the Rfam family "Eukaryotic small subunit ribosomal RNA", at positions 21 to 570 of the family's 1831-position model. The record is from RNAcentral.
UGUAGUCAUAUGCUUGUCUCAAAGAUUAAGCCAUGCAUGUCUAAGUAUAAGCAACUAUACGGCGAAACUGCGAAUGGCUCAUUAUAUAAGUUAUCGUUUAUUUGAUAGCGCCUUACUACAUGGAUAACCGUGGUAAUUCUAGAGCUAAUACAUGCUAAAAACCUCGACUUCGGAAGGGGUGUAUUUAUUAGAUUAAAAGCCAAUGCCCUCCGGGGCUCUCUGGUGAUUCAUGAUAACUUUUCAGAUCGCACGGCCUUGCGCCGGCGACGGUUCAUUCAAAUUUCUUCCCUAUCAACUUUCGACGGUACGGUCUUGGCCUACCGUGGUUGCAACGGGUGACGGAGGGUUAGGGCUCGACCCCGGAGAGGGAGCCUGAGAAACGGCUACCACAUCCAAGGAAGGCAGCAGGCGCGCAAAUUACCCAAUCCCGACUCGGGGAGGUAGUGACAAUAAAUACCGAUACAGGGCUCUUUAGGGUCCUGUAAUUGGAAUGAGUACAAUUUAAAUCCCUUAACGAGGAACAAUUGGAGGGCAAGUCUGGUAAUCG